UACGGAGGGGGCUAGCGUUGUUCGGAAUUACUGGGCGUAAAGCGCACGUAGGCGGCUUUGUAAGUUAGAGGUGAAAGCCCGGAGCUCAACUCCGGAACUGCCUUUAAGACUGCAUCGCUUGAAUCCAGGAGAGGUGAGUGGAAUUCCGAGUGUAGAGGUGAAAUUCGUAGAUAUUCGGAAGAACACCGGUGGCGAAGGCGGCGACCUGGUCCGAUACUGACGCUGAGGCGCGAAAGCGUGGGGAGCAAACAGG
Molecule: ribosomal RNA, 253 nt
Filed under: uncultured bacterium
Lineage: Bacteria
Description: partial 16S ribosomal RNA
Rfam family: Bacterial small subunit ribosomal RNA
Source: RNAcentral